UGACGCGCAUGAAUGGAU
RNAcentral lists this non-coding RNA (18 nucleotides) under Arabidopsis thaliana (thale cress). RNAcentral also lists the same sequence under 1 other name. Lineage: Eukaryota; Viridiplantae; Streptophyta; Magnoliopsida; Brassicales; Brassicaceae. The record is from RNAcentral.